GUUAAAACUCAAAUGAAUUGACGGGGGCCCGCACAAGCGGUGGAGCAUGUGGUUUAAUUCGAUGCAACGCGAAGAACCUUACCUGGUCUUGACAUCCACGGAAGUUUUCAGAGAUGAGAAUGUGCCUUCGGGAACCGUGAGACAGGUGCUGCAUGGCUGUCGUCAGCUCGUGUUGUGAAAUGUUGGGUUAAGUCCCGCAACGAGCGCAACCCUUAUCCUUUGUUGCCAGCGGUUAGGCCGGGAACUCAAAGGAGACUGCCAGUGAUAAACUGGAGGAAGGUGGGGAUGACGUCAAGUCAUCAUGGCCCUUACGACCAGGGCUACACACGUGCUACAA
RNAcentral lists this ribosomal RNA (337 nucleotides) under Salmonella enterica subsp. enterica serovar Agona. RNAcentral's name for it is "bacterial SSU rRNA". It matches the Rfam family "Bacterial small subunit ribosomal RNA", at positions 893 to 1230 of the family's 1533-position model. The record is from RNAcentral. RNAcentral also lists the same sequence under 1 other name. Lineage: Bacteria; Pseudomonadati; Pseudomonadota; Gammaproteobacteria; Enterobacterales; Enterobacteriaceae.